AAGAUGAAGCAAGUGAUAAAGACUGGAACUAACAGUGUAUGCCUUAUUCAAUCCGGUCCUUGUUUCAUUUU
Cavia porcellus (domestic guinea pig) is the source of this 71-nucleotide small nucleolar RNA. It matches the Rfam family "Small nucleolar RNA SNORD69". From Rfam's summary of the family: snoRNA HBII-210 belongs to the C/D family of snoRNAs. It is the human orthologue of the mouse MBII-210 and is predicted to guide the 2'O-ribose methylation of large 28S rRNA on residue G4464. NCBI's taxonomy places the organism in Eukaryota, Metazoa, Chordata, Mammalia, Rodentia, Caviidae. The record is from Rfam.